AGAAUCAACGCUGGCGGCGUGCCUAACACAUGCAAGUCGAACGAGAAAGUGGAGCAAUCCAUGAGUAAAGUGGCGACCGGGUGAGUAACACGUGACUAACCUACCUUCGAGUGGGGGAUAACCUCGGGAAACCGGGGCUAAUACCGCAUAACAUCUUUGAAGUGGAAAUUUCGGAGAUCAAAGGAGCAAUUCGCUGGAAGAGGGGGUCGCGGCUGAUUAGCUAGUUGGCGGGUAACGCCCACAAGGCUUAGAUCGGUAGCCGGCCUGAGAGGGCGCACGGCCACACUGGAACUGAAACACGGUCCAGACUCCUACGGAGGCAGCAGUGGGGAAUUUUGCGCAAUGGGGGAAACCCUGACGCAGCAACGCCGCGUGGAGGAUGAAGUCCCUUGGGACGUAAACUCCUUUCGACCCGGACGAUAAUGACGGUACGGGUGGAAGAAGCCCCGGCUAACUUCGCGCCAGCAGCCGC
Molecule: ribosomal RNA, 472 nt
Filed under: uncultured bacterium
Lineage: Bacteria
Description: SSU rRNA
Rfam family: Bacterial small subunit ribosomal RNA
Source: RNAcentral